UACGGGGGGGGUAAGCGUUGUUCGGAAUUACUGGGCGUAAAGGGCGCGUAGGCGGCCAUGCGUGUCUCCCGUGAAAUCCCUCGGCUCAACCGAGGACGUGCGGAAGAAACUGCAAGGCUCGAGUCCGGAAGAGGGGGGCGGAAUUCCCAGUGUAGCGGUGAAAUGCGUAGAUAUUGGGAGGAACACCAGUGGCGAAGGCGGUCCCCUGGGCCGGAACUGACGCUGAGGCGCGAAAGCGUGGGUAGCAAACGGG
Molecule: ribosomal RNA, 253 nt
Filed under: uncultured bacterium
Lineage: Bacteria
Description: partial 16S ribosomal RNA
Rfam family: Bacterial small subunit ribosomal RNA
Source: RNAcentral